GUGUCAGCCGCCGCGGUAAUACGAAGGGGGCUAGCGUUGCUCGGAAUUACUGGGCGUAAAGGGCGCGUAGGCGGGUCGUUUAGUUAGAGGUGAAAGCCCAGGGCUCAACCCUGGAAUUGCCUUUAAUACUGGCGGCCUUGAGUAUGGCAGAGGUGUGUGGAACUCCGAGUGUAGAGGUGAAAUUCGUAGAUAUUCGGAAGAACACCAGUGGCGAAGGCGACACACUGGGCCAUUACUGACGCUGAGGCGCGAAAGCGUGGGGAGCAAACAGGAUUAGAAACCCCCGUAGUCC
RNAcentral lists this ribosomal RNA (292 nucleotides) under uncultured bacterium. Its description in RNAcentral is "partial 16S ribosomal RNA". It matches the Rfam family "Bacterial small subunit ribosomal RNA", at positions 505 to 796 of the family's 1533-position model. The record is from RNAcentral.